GGUGAACGCUGGCGGUGUGCCUAAUACAUGCAAGUCGAGCGAGGAUUCGAGCCGAGUGGCAGUCGGCUGAGUAACACGUUGGUAACUAUCUCAAAUUCAGGGAUAACGUCGAGAACUCGGUGCUAAUACCGGAUGGUCCCCUAAGGGCAAAGUAUUUAUGGAUCGAGAGGUUUCGGCGUCCGAUCAGGUAGUUGGUGAGGUAACGGCGCACCAAGCCGAUGACGGGUAACUGUGCUGAGGGGAUGACCAGUCAGAGGGAAACUGAGGCACGGUUCCCACUUCUACGGAAAGGAGCAGUAGAGAAUCUUCCACAAGGGACGUGAGUCAGAAGGGUCUUCGCCGCGUGCAGGAUUGAGACCCUUGAGGCAUAAACUGCUUUUUUGGGGGAAAAAUUCUGAUUGUACCCAAAGAAUAAGCACCGGCAAAUCACGUG
RNAcentral lists this ribosomal RNA (433 nucleotides) under uncultured bacterium. RNAcentral's name for it is "partial 16S ribosomal RNA". It matches the Rfam family "Bacterial small subunit ribosomal RNA", at positions 28 to 507 of the family's 1533-position model. The record is from RNAcentral.